Molecule: ribosomal RNA, 468 nt
Filed under: uncultured bacterium
Lineage: Bacteria
Description: partial 16S ribosomal RNA
Rfam family: Bacterial small subunit ribosomal RNA
Source: RNAcentral
GACGAACGCUGGCGGCGUGCUUAACACAUGCAAGUCGAACGGAAAGGCCCUGCUUUUGUGGGGUGCUCGAGUGGCGAACGGGUGAGUAACACGUGAGUAACCUGCCCUUGACUUUGGGAUAACUUCAGGAAACUGGGGCUAAUACCGGAUAGGAGCUCCUGCUGCAUGGUGGGGGUUGGAAAGUUUCGGCGGUUGGGGAUGGACUCGCGGCUUAUCAGCUUGUUGGUGGGGUAGUGGCUUACCAAGGCCUUGACGGGUAGCCGGCCUGAGAGGGUGACCGGCCACAUUGGGACUGAGAUACGGCCCAGACUCCUACGGGAGGCAGCAGUGGGGAAUAUUGCACAAUGGGCGGAAGCCUGAUGCAGCAACGCCGCGUGCGGGAUGACGGCCUUCGGGUUGUAAACCGCUUUCGCCAGUGACGAAGCGUGAGUGACGGUAAUUGGUAAAGAAGCACCGGCUAACUACGUG